RNAcentral lists this ribosomal RNA (253 nucleotides) under uncultured bacterium. RNAcentral describes it as "partial 16S ribosomal RNA". It matches the Rfam family "Bacterial small subunit ribosomal RNA", at positions 524 to 776 of the family's 1533-position model. The record is from RNAcentral.
UACGGAGGGUGCAAGCGUUGCUCGGAAUUACUGGGCGUAAAGGGCGUGUAGGCGGUUUCGUAUGUCUGGCGUGAAAGCCCCGGGCUCACCUCGGGAAGUGCGUCGGAAACUGCGAGACUAGAGUCCCGGAGAGGGAGGUGGAAUUCCAGGUGUAGCGGUGAAAUGCGUAGAUAUCGGGAGGAACACCGGUGGCGAAGGCGGCCUUCUGGACGGAUACUGACGCUGAUACGCGAAAGCGUGGGGAGCAAACAGG